CGACCUCAGAUCAGAC
Molecule: ribosomal RNA, 16 nt
Filed under: Taliniella vinki
Lineage: Eukaryota; Metazoa; Arthropoda; Arachnida; Araneae; Micropholcommatidae
Also listed under: 1 other name
Description: partial 28S ribosomal RNA
Source: RNAcentral